CUCCCCCCAUGCAACAGCGUAACAUAGCGGGACGCGCCCGCGGAGGUGAGGCGGCGGCCCGGAGCGGGGCAGGAGGGGCUCCUGGACUGGAGGUGGCAGUUGCUGGGUUCCCGGCCGUAGAGGGCGGGGAGAGGACUGGGCUGUUCAGCGGGGUCUGGAGAGCGGCUCGGAGACUCCCGUCUCGAGAACUGCCUUCCUCCCUGGUCGCUCUCCGGGGAAUCGAGGCUCUUGCCUCUCCGGCUGCCGCGUGUUUCAUUUAGUUUCCGGCUUCCGUUCGUCUGCGUAGCCGCUUGUCUUACAGUCACGGUGCUUACUUACCACUUACGAGCAUUGGCUGUUGGUCGUCUCCCAGCAGGAGCUCAUAAGGUCUGGCAGUUGCUGACUGCUGCUGCCGGAAGCCCACUCGUGGAAGGAUCUGAGUACCUACAUAAUUCUCAGCUGGACUAGGGACAUAGCGCUGUUGGGGUUAGGAAGAUAAAUUAGAAAUUUAAAUUGCCCUUGCUUUAGUUUCCUAGGGCUGUGAUAACCAAGUAUCGCAAAUUUGGUGGCUUAAAACAACGCGUUUAUUAUCUUACAGUUCUGGAACCAGGAAGUCCGAAAUGAAGGUGUCAGCAGGAUUACGCUUCCUCUGAAACUCUGGGUAAAAUACUUCCUUGGCUUUUCCUAGUUUCCGGUGCUGUGCACCCAUCCUAGGAGUUCUUUGACUUGUAGCUGCAUCUUUUGGAUCUCUUGAAGUUUCUCCUAUGGUGUUUUUCUCUGUGUAUCUGUGUUUCUUCUUAAAAGGUCACAGCCUUCUUGGGCAAAGGGCCUACCUUACUCCUGAUCUUAACUAAUUACAUUUACAAUAACUAUUGCCAGAUAAAGUCACAUUCUAAGGUUCUGGGAAGGUCGUGAAUUGGGGGAGAGGGGCGUGACACUGACCAACAUAGUAUAGCUGUCAGAGAGCUUAAGGAGUUGGCAAGCCAAAAGCUGACAGUAAUUUGCUGUAGCACAUGUGAACUCAGACAUAGUUCAAUUGGAUCUGAGAACUUUUCAUGGGUAUUUGAACUAUUCCCUUGAUAGGUGGGUAGGAUUUGGAUGUGCCAUUGUAGAUCAUAUAUAGCAUUCUAAGCAAACAAAAAUCACAGGAAAGCACAGGUUGAAAUGUAAAAUAGGUUAAAGUUGGAAGGAUUUUGGGGCGCUCCGGGUGGCUCAGUCGGUUGAGCGUCCGACUUCGGCUCAGGUCACGUUCUCACGGCUAGGCUCGUGAGUUCGAGCCCCAAUUCGGGCCCUGUGCUGACAGCCAGAGCCUGGAGCCUGCUUCCGAUUCUGUGCCUCCCUCUCUCUCUGCCCCUCCCCAGCUCGUGCUCUGUCUCUCUCUUUCUCUUUCAAAAAUAAACAUUUAAAAAUUUUUUUUAAAAUAAAGUAGGAAGGAUCUUGAACGUUUGGAGUCUGUUGUGUAUGUAAAAUGAGCAGUAUAUCAAAGUGUUUUGGCAGAGGAGUUGUGCUUGAAGAUUAAUUAGCAACUGGAGUCAAACCUACUUUGUGUUUCUCAGUCCAUUUUAAGAAGUCUUAAAUCCUGGGGCACCUGGGUGGCUCAGUCGGUUAAGUGUCUGACUUCAGCUCAGGUCAUGAUCUUGCGGUUUGUGAGUUUGAGCCCCACAUCAGGCUCUGCUGACAGCUCAGAGCCUGGAGCCUGUUUGAGAUUCUGUGUCUCCCUCUCUCUCUCUGCCCUUCCCCCACAUACGCUCUGUCUCCCUCUCAAAAAUAAAUAAACAUUAAAAAAGAGAAAAAGAAGUCUUAAAUCCUAUUCUCUGAGCAUAUCCUGUGCUUUUUCAUCCUGGUCUUUGCUCAUGCUGUCCCUUCUUACUGGAGUGCUUCCAUUAAGGAGAGUUGUUCAGCUCAUAAUGUUAGCAUCCCCUUAAUACCAAAACCUGACAAAGAUAGCACCAGAAGAAAAAACUGCCCAACUCCCAUCAAUACAAAGCCCUAAAAUAAAAUAGUAGCAAAUUCAGUCAUGCCCUCCAUCUGGAAUGAAAGAUUUUAUCCCAGGAAUGAUUUAACGUUAGAAAGCCUGUUGCUAUAAAUCACUGUAUUAAUAGUUUAUAUGAGGUUAAAUCUGUAUGAUCUAUAUGAUCAUCUCGAGCGGUAAAGUGUUUUUUGCAAAUAUUCAAAACCUACUUUGAUUUCAAAGAAAACAUUGAGCAAAAUAGGAGGGGUGCCUGGGUGGCUCAGUCAGUUAAGCGUCUGACUCUUGAUUUCCACUCAGGUCAUGAUCUCAUGAUUGUGAGAUUGAGGCCUGUGUCAGCCUCUGUGCUGGAGCCUGCUUAAGAUUCUUCCUCUCUUUGCCCCUGCCUGCUCGUUUUCUCUCUCCCUCUCUCCUUCCCUCUCUCCCCCACCUCCCAAAAAUAAGUAAAUAAAACACUUAGCAAAAUGAGAAUAGACAAACAGCAACUUGAUAAAAGGCACUUAAAAGAAAUCUAUGGUAAAUGUCAUACUUAAAUGAUAAAACAAUAGAAGCAUUCUCUUUAAACUCAGGAAAAAAUGGAAUAUUUACUUUCACUUCUAAUAUUCAACAUGGUGCUAGCUUUCUAGCCAAAGUAAUAAAACAGGGAACAGACAAAAAUGUUAGGAAAGGAGGAAGUGAAAAUAUUAUUUUUGGAUAAUGUAAUUUUGUUUCUGGAAAAUGGAAAAGAAUGAAAUUACAAAAUUAUUAGAAUUAAAAGGUUCAGCAAAGUGGCUAAAUGAAUACAGAAACUUAAAUUUUUUUGUAUAUCAGUUAUAAAAUGGGGGGGGGGGGAAGAACCCAAUAUGAAUACACUGCACAAAAGAGACUUCUUUAUGAGAAAUAUGAAAUAUCAUUAAAAGACAUUAAGGGCGAGUAAAUGGACAUUUCAUGUUCCAGUAUGGAAAAUUCAGUGCUUUAAAUAUAUCAGUGUAUCAUAAAUUAAAAGGUUUUGGUACAGUACCUGCUAAAAUACUGAUAGAAUCUCCAAGUAAUUCUCUUUGAUCAAGUAUAUUAUUCUUUGGAUACACUGUUGGGUGCCAUUUAUUGAUACUUUAUAUAGAAUGUAUCUUUUAUUAGUGAGACUGACACGAAGGGGAGCUUUUUUGGUACUGUAUUAAUCAGAUGUUGAUAUUUAAAAUUAUACUAGAUCCCUUAAAAUAACUUUAGGGAGCAUUUUAUAUUUUACUACGUUCUGAAAUAAUUUAAGUGACUUUGGAAUUAUCUGCUCUUUUAAGACUGAAUAGAGAAAUCAAUUGCAAAAUCCUAUUAUAUGAUGUAGUUUUACAUGGUAGAAUUUAUAUAUAAUGUGUCCACUCUCUUCUGUGAUCAUUUAAAAAGUCAACUUUUUGGGUUGCUUGGGUGGCUCAGUUGGUUGAGUGUCUGACUUGAUUUGGGCUCAGGUCAUGAUCCCAAGGUCAUGGGAACGAGCCCCAUGUCAGGCUCUGUGUUGAGCAUGGAGCCUGCUUAAGAUUCUCCCUCUCCCUCUACCCCUCUCCCCAACUUGGGCGCGCGCUCUCUUUCUCUAAAAAUUAAAAAUUAAAAAAAAUUAAAAUUCAACUUUUCUGUGGGGGAGGGAUCAACCUUAAUUUGUAUUUUGCUUGGAAGUCCUCCAUUUUCAGCAGAUUUUCCAAAUUAGUUGUCAUUGUAUUGUGUAUAGAAUUCUCUUGUGAUUCUUACAGUCUGCUCUGCACAUGAGGUUGUUUUCUCAUUCCUAACCUUACAUAUUUUUGUUUUCUUUUUCUUGAACCAGGCUUGCAAGAGGAUUUGUCUCUUUUUGAAUGCUUUUCAACUCUUACUUACUGUCUUCUGUUUUCCAGUUUAAGUUUUUGUCACAGUUCCUCUUCCUACUCUCUUGUUCUUUUCCCAUUUCUUAAUAUUAGUCUAAGAGCCUUUAUUUUUUUAAGUUCUUUCAUUUUUAUUUCAUUUUUGAUGAAGACAUUUUAAGGCUAUAAAUUUGCCUCUAAAUACAACUCGUUCCAUAGUUUUUGGUAUAAAGUGUUCUCUUUUUCAUUGCUUUUUACAUAUGUUGUCAUUUUUUUCUUUGAUCUAAGAGUUAUCCAGGAUUGGAUGUCAUUUUUUCAAAUACUUAAGCUUUUCAAUCCAUUUCUUUCUUCAGUUUUAUUGAGAGAUAAUUGACAUACAUCACUGGGUAAGUUCAAGUGCACAGCGUGAUGGUGGUCAUGUUUGUAUUAUUUUCCAGUUUUGUGGUGACCAGAGAAUUAGAUUCGGUAUGUUUUAGUUAAGAUAUUCUUCUUUGGCAAGUACAUAAUCAAUGAUUACACAUUUCAUGGGUGUUAAAAUAUGUAUAUUUUCUACUUAGAAUUAAAAGUUUCUAUGCUAUAAAUAAGUAUGUACAUAAAUAAAUAAAAGUUCUAUGCGGGGGUGCCUGGGUAGUGCAGUCAGUUAAGCAUCUGACUUGGGCUCAGGUCAUGAUCUUGUGAUCUGUGAGUUCGAGCCCCCUCUUGGGCUCUGUGCUGGCAGCUCAGAGCCUGGAACCUGCUUCGGAUUCUGUGUCUCCCUCUCUCUCUGCCUCUCCCCUGCUUGUGCUCUGUUUCUCUCUCUCAAAAAGAAAUAAACAUGAAAAAAAAAAUUUUUUUUUAAGUUCUAUGACUCUUUCAUCAGGUUUACUGGUUUUAGUAUUCAGGUUUAUUGAUUUUAGAAUUUAGUUCUCUGAUACAUUUCCUAGGUCAGUCUGAUUCUAGAAGAGGUGUGAUUAAGAUUUCCACCUUGGGGCGCCUGGGUGGCGCAGUCGGUUAAGCGUCCGACUUCAGCCAGGUCACGAUCUCGCGGUCCGUGAGUUCGAGCCCCGCGUCAGGCUCUGGGCUGAUGGCUCGGAGCCUGGAGCCUGUUUCCGAUUCUGUGUCUCCCUCUCUCUCUGCCCCUCCCCCGUUCAUGCUCUGUCUGUCUGUCCCAAAAAUAAAUAAAAACGUUGAAAAAAAAAAAUUAAAAAAAAAAAAAAAAGAUUUCCACCUUAAAUGUAUUUUAAACAAUCUUUUUUGCAUUUCUGGAAGAUCUUUUUAUGUAUGUAACAUUAUGUCACUGGUUCAUACAAGACUGUGCCCUGUCUUUGUAAACUAUGCCUUCUAUAAGAUCCUUUUUAUCCUGUUUAAUGCUUUCAACUUAUGUCUGACCAAUAUCCCUUUCUCUGAUGUUUUUGUUUUUUUGUUUUUUAAUUUGAGAGAGAGAGCAAGUGGAGGGGGGGGUAUGCAGAGAGGGAGAGAGAAUCUUAAGCAGGCUCCACACCGUGGAGCCCAGCACAGGGCUUGAUCCCAUGACCCUGGGAUCGUGACCUGAGCCAAAAUCAAGAGUGCUCAACCGAUGCUCAACCGACUGAGCCACCCAAGUGCCCCUCCCCGUAUCUGAUGUUAAUGUUACCAUUCCUUCUUUUGUUUACUUCUGUCUGGUAAACUCAUAGCUCACCUCUUUAUUUUAAAUCUGUUCGUUUCUAGUAAAAGAAAAAAUUGUACAUGUAACAAAUGAUCAAUCUGGGUUAGUUUUUUCACCUGGAAAGCCUAGCAGUAACUAUGCAGAAGCCAGCUGCUGUGCUGAGAGGAUCUGCAGGUGCAUGGAGGCUUAGAGCUUGUACAGUUUUACGUUUCAAAAGGAAACUGAAUGUCACGUUGAUGUCAAACAGUAGUUCGCCAUAACGUGAUAGCGCUGUUGUCAAAUACUAAUUCGAGGAAAUCACAAGCGGAUUUGCGGGAAGUCGUGGAUUAUUGGACUUUGCCUUAGUAAAGAUUAUUUUCCUUCCAUAAGUAUUUCAGGUGUCCUGGGAAAGGUUCUGAGGUUACUAAAACCCAGGCCCGCUAUCUCCUUGCUUUCCCUUUCUCCCCUGCCAGAAAUCAGCCUGCCUCUUCACAUCCUGCCUCUGGGCUGCCCGCCUAUAGUUCUGAGUUACCAGAAGCUAAUAUGGUCUGAGGCCCAGCUGGGGCUUUUGCCGUGCAGGGGAGGAGGUUGUUAUUUGUACUGGAAGCCUGGAGGCGAGAGGGUGAGCUCGGGAGGGCUUGAGAACGGGAGGCAGAACACCUCCAUUCGUGUUAGUCUCUGGUCCUCCCGGUGAUAGCCGGCUGGGACUUCCGGGACCAAAAGCGCGUGGGCCCUCUUCACAGCUUCCCUCCGUUUCCCACGGAAGAGGCUGCAGGUUGGGACCAGUGCCGCUUCCCUCCCUCCCGCGGCUCUUCUUUCUACUUCCUGCCUCCGUCGGGAAUCACGUGGUCGGGUUUGAGUUCCUGUGAUCCACCUCCCUUCCGUCCUCUGUAACUCAGGGACCUGGAGUGGUGAGAGAAACGUUGGCAUCAGGCUUGGAAGACUUGCUUUGUAGAGAGCAAAGCGGAAGCGCAGAAUUACCUCUACCCCGUGACUGCGUGAGCUUUGUGGAAAGUGUUCCCAUAAUUCGUUACCUGUAAACUUGAAUCAGUGUUUGUUUGAUUUCUCUCAGUGCUGAGUAGAAUCUGAGAACAGGAGUGACACCUGGAUGAGUAAAGGUGGUGCAGACGGGGCACCCGGGUGGCUCGGCCGGUUUCGGCUCAGGUCACGAUCCCACAGUUGAGGAGUUCAAGCCCUGCGUCGGGCUCUGCGCUGAUGCCACUGAGCCUGCUUGGGACUCUCCGCCUCCCCUGCCCCUCCCCCGCCCCUCCCCCACUUGCACGUCUCUGUCUCUAAGUAAAUAAAUCAACUUUAAAAACAUUAGUGAAAAGAAGAGCAGCUUUCCCGUGUGAGAAAUACAGGGGAUGGUGCCCGGAUGCUUGGUGUGUGACAGUGUUUUUCAGAUGAAUUUCAGAUACUUGUGUAAACGUGGGGGCGUGAGGGAGACGAGAACAGAGCCCAUUUUGACAGCAGGUGCUGCCAGUGCGUGGGAAGAGCACUCAGGCAAGUGACUUAAGUGCCGCGUCCUUGUUGCAGUGAUGCUGAAGACGGGCGACUCCCGGCAAGCCGCCCCCACCCUCCCCUCACCACGAGAGGCAGCCUCUGCCUCGCCUCGGAUUUCAGUGUCGCACCCGCUGUCUACGCUGCUUCCACACACACCCUUCCCUCCUUCACCCUGUCGGAGGGUAGUGGUCUUCUCUCCAUCCGAGGCUAGCUUUUCCUUCCAUGCUCAGAUCCCCUCCUCACCCUCGCUUCCUCAUUGGGCUUUGUUUCCUCACCUGAUACUUAUUUUCUUGUCCUCCGAGCCCCAUCCAAAGAAUAUUUCUCUCUAGAUUUCUUUUAGGCAUUCAAAGUGACCAAUCCCUCCUUUAAAAAAAAAUUAUUGAGGGGGGCGCCUGGGUGGCUCGGUCGGUUGAGCGUCCGACUUGGGCUCAGGUCAUGAUCUCACGGUUGGUGGGUUCAAGCCCCGCGUCGGGCUCUGUGCUGACAGCUCGGAGCCUGGAGCUACUUUGGAUUCUGUGUCUCCCCCUCUCUCUGCUCCUCUUCCACUCAUACGCUGUCUCUCUCUCUCAAAGAUAAACAUUUUUUAAAACUUUUUAAAAAACUCUCUCAAAGAUAAACAUUUUUAAAAAAUUAAAAAAAAAAUCUCUCUCUCCCUCUGCCUCUCUCCCCCACUUGCACUCUCCUCUCUCUUUCUAAAAUAAUAAUAAUAAUAAACGCUAAAAAAAAAAGCCCAUCAAGAGUUGAUUCAAAUAUGCUCUUCAUGGAGCAAAAUACUAGGCAUUCAUUAAAAGUGACAUGAAUCUGGGGCGCCUGGGUGGCGCAGUCGGUUAAGCGUCCGACUUCAGCCAGGUCACGAUCUCGCGGUCCGUGAGUUCGAGCCCCGCGUCGGGCUCUGGGCUGAUGGCUCAGAGCCUGGAGCCUGUUUCCGAUUCUGUGUCUCCCUCUCUCUCUGCCCCUCCCCUGUUCAUGCUCUGUCUCUCUCUGUCCCGAAAAUAAAUAAACGUUGAAAAAAAAAAAAAAAUUAAAAAAAAAAAAAGUGACAUGAAUCUAUUUUUGGCAUCAAUAACUUGCCAAGAUGACUUUAAAAAAAAAAGUUUCAGGGGUACCUGGGUGGCUCAGUCAGUUAAGCAUCUGACUCUUUGUUUUCAGCUCAGGUCAUGAUCUCCUGGUUCAUGAGAUCAAGCCCCACAUCAGGCUCUGUACUGCCAGUGUGGAGCCUGCUUGGGAUUCUCUCUCCCUCUACCCCUUCCCUGCUUGCGUACUCAUACACACACAUGCUCUCUCUUGAAAUAAGCAUUAAAAAUAAAUAAGUUAUAAAGCAACGAGUUAUGAAAGUAUAGGUAUAUAUACGUGACCGAGAGAAGAGCCCAAUUAUAACACUGGUUAAUUCUGACAAGUAAUAUCCAAAGCUCUUUGUUUCUGUCUCUUUAAAAAUCUCUGUGUUUUCUCAACUUUUUAAAAAAUAGUAUGUUUUACCUACCAGAAUAUAUAUAAAUUGAUCUGUGGAGCAAUAUCAUGACUGCCCUUAUACAUAAACUUUUGCGUACAUCUUGACGUUUUUAAGUACCCAUGUUUACUUGGUGAGGAGAACACAUACGAGAAGCUUUAAACAUGUAUUUUCAGAUUUCCUCUCUGGAAGGAAUGCAGAUAAAUAUUCACCAGCAGUAUUUGACCAUGCUGGUUCCCUAGGCCCUCACUGGACCCUGGGAGUGAUAGAUACAUCACUCGUUUCCUGCUUGGCCAGUUUGAUAGGUCAUCACUUCUGGUUGCUUUCUGUGAUGUGUGUCUCAUCUGAUUGGCAUUCAGAGAGUCACCCCUUUCACACUGGUGUUUGUAAACUCCUCAGAGUUGUGCUUUCCUCUUAGUCUCUGUUGUCUGCAUUUUUUUUUUUUUGGGCGGGGGGGGGGCUGGGUCCUUUUUUUUUUUUUUUNNNNNGGGGGGGGGGGGGUCUGGUUCCUUUUUUUUUUUUUUUAAUUUAUUUUAAUCUUUAUUUAUUUUUGAGAGAGACAGAGACAGGGUGCAAGCGGGAGAAGAACAGAGAGAGAGGAAGACACAGAAUCCGAUGCAGGCUCCAGGCUCAGAGCUGUCAGCACAGAGUCUGACAUGGGGCUCGAACUCAAGAACCUCGGGUUUAUGAAGUCGGACGCUUAACUGACUGAGCCACCCAGGCGCCCCUGUCUGGUUUAUUUUCUUAUGAGUAGUUAUCAAAAGAAUCAUUUUGAUAUUUGGAGCCCUUCUGUACCCAGUUCAAAAGUGUGAUAACUAAAAUAGUAAAUUCUUGAAUUCACUUGUUCAGAUCUCAAAAUCAUUUUUCCUCUAGUUAAGGCAGAACAGGGAGAGAAUUAGGAGUUUGAGCUUUACUGUUAGGCUGCCUGGGCGAAAAUCUUAGCGCUAUGACAGCAUACCAGCUGUGACCCUAGUCUAGCUAAAGAACUACGCCCGGUUCCCUCACCUGCGUGUGACACAGUGCCGGCACAGAACGAGCUCUCGAAUUGUUUGUUACUGCAAUCAUUACUGUUAUAAGAAGGGACACUCUUGAGUAGGUACAAUGGACUGAAAUGUGCCCUCUCCCCCAAAAAUGUAUAUGUUGUUUGUGUGCUUGCUUGAAAUGUUUUAUUUUAUUAUUUUAAAAAAAAAUUUUUUUAGCAUUUAUUUAUUUUUGAAACAGAGAGAACAGAGCAUGAACAGGGGAGGGUCAGAGAGAGAGGGAGACACAGAAUCUGAAACAGGCUCCAGGCUCUGAGCUGUCAGCACAGAGCCCGACGCGGGGCUCGAACUCACGAACCUUGAGAUCAUAACCCAAGCUGCGGUCCAAUGCUUAACCAACUCAGCCACCCAGGUGCUCUGGGAGAUAGCUGGUUUAAAUGAGGUCAGGAGAGGGGGGACCUUAUGAAGGGAUUAGUGCCUUUAUGAGAAAAGACAGCAGAGGUCUCUCCUCCGCAACCUUGUGAGGAGACAGGAAAGAAGCUGUCUGCAAACCCGGAGGAGAGUCCAGCAAAACUCAGUGAUGCUGGCCCUCUGAUCUUACAACUUGCAGCCUCUAGAACCGUAAGAAUUAAGUGUCUGUCGUUUGAGCCAGCAGUUCAUUGGUAUUUUGUUAGAGCGGCCUGAGUUGAUUAAAACAUACAGUUUUGUAGGGUGCCUGGGUGGCUCGGUCGAUAAGCGUCCGACUUGAGCUCAGGUCAUGAUCUCACUGUUUGUGGGUCGGAGCCCUGCGUCGGGCUCUGUGCUGACAGCUCGGAGCCUGGAGCCUGCUUUGGAUUCUGUGUCUCCCUCUCUCUCUGCUCCUUUGCCGCUCGUGCUCUUGCUCUGUCUCUUCUCUCAAAAAUAUAAGUAAACAUUAAAAAAAGAGAAGUACAGAAUUUCCUAAAUCACAAAAUCAUCUUUCAAAAAAAAAUGUAAAAAAAAAAACCCAAAAACCCCAUACAGUUUUGUUAUCACUGAGCGUGCAGCCUGGAGUUGUAGGUGAGAAAUAAAAGGAGUAAUGAUGAUAGAGCACGAGGUGUGUUUGGAAUGCAGGUGAAGUACAGAACACACAGUGACUGACCUCCACGCUUCUCUUGUGCCCGUGUUUGCCUUCUAGACUGUUCCUCAUUGGAAAACAGCAGUGAACUAGUGUUUUCCCAAGGAGCAAGAACUUGAUCCACCUGAAUUUGACUGCUAAUUUUGUGGAAUAUUAUGGAAUGAAGCUCCUGUGAGGCUUUGAGUCAUUCUGACUAUAAAAUGCAGGAUACGAUGCAGACUGUGUUCUGCAGCGUUCCAUCUAGGUGGCAUUUAGAAUGUAGGGAUUCUGUUAAUGGAUGAGAAAGCUGGAGUCCGUAUCUAUUUAGAAAAGGUUCAGUUCUGGGGCGCCUGGGUGGCGCAGUCGGUUAAGCGUCCGACUUCAGCCAGGUCACGAUCUCGCGGUCCGUGAGUUCGAGCCCCGCGUCAGGCUCUGGGCUGAUGGCUCGGAGCCUGGAGCCUGUUUCCGAUUCUGUGUCUCCCUCUCUCUCUGCCCCUCCCCCGUUCAUGCUCUGUCUCUCUCUGUCCCAAAGAUAAAUAAACGUUGAAAAAAAAAAAUUAAAAAAAAAAAAAAGAAAAGGUUCAGUUCUGAAUGACGCGUUUUUUCUAGUGGAGUUUUGAAUAAGUCUUUUUUUUUUUUAAUUUUUUUUUUUUAACAUUUAUUCAUUUUUGAGAGUAAGAGACAGAGCAUGAGCAGGGGAGGGGCAGAGAGAGAGAGGGAGACACAGAAUCCAAAGCAGGCUCCAAGCUCCGAGCUGUCAGCACAGAGCCCGACGCGGGGCUCGAACUCACAGACCGAGAGAUCGUGACCUGAGCUGAAGUCAGACGCUCAACCGACUGAGCCAUCCAGGCACCCCUGAAUAAGUCUUGUCAUCGUUCUAAUACUAGUUUUUCUUCCACCAAAUUCCCCCUGAUUCUUUUUUUUUUAAUUAAAAAAAUUUUUAAUGUUUUUAUUUAUUUUUCAGACAGAGAGAGACAGAGCAUGGGCAGGGGAGGAGCAGAGAGAGAGGGAGAGACAGAAUGCGAAGCAGGCUCCAGGCUCUGAGCUGUCAGCACAGAGCCCGACGCAGGGCCCAAACUGGACUGUGAGAUCAUGACCUGAGCUGAAGUCGGACGUUUAUCCGACUGAGCCACCCAGGCACCCCAAAGUCCCCCUGAUUCUUGAGAGUUUUCUUAUUGUGUAAAAGUGCUUCCUUUUUGGUUAGUAAAUCAGUAUUAGGGUAUUAUGAGAAAAAUUAAAAUGUUUCAACCCACAACUUCCUUAGAUUAAUACCAACUAUUUUAAGGUUUAUUUGUUCUGUAUGUGAACAAUUUCAUACGCUUGUUUAUUAAUAUUAUUUCAGUGACUCAUUUUAAUAUUUCUGUGUAAAAUAUCCAUGUAAUCUAUAAAGCCACAUUAUCUCCAAAAGAGUGUUGGUAAUAUGCAAUAUGUGUGGCCAGUGGGUGCCAGUCUGACCAUUCAAACCAGGGCCCAGGAGAGGAUCUGGUCUGUCCACCAAAGUUUAAGGUCCAGCCUUCAUUUUUAGGCUAAUAAGCUCAAGGUUUACAGUUAUUAGAGGGGAUUUUAUUUUGAGAGAUUGAUUGUAAUUAAACAAUUUGGCAAGACAGGUGUAAAAAUUCUAGACUAUAAAUGAAUGUAAAUAGAAGGGAGAGGAGAUUUGGAAUAUUUUAAUUUUCUGAUUAAAGUCAUUUUCCUCUGGAAGGAAAACCUCCUGGGAACUUUGGGGUGACUAGAUGAUCAUUUACUUAGGGGGAGAGUUUGAUGAUUUUAAACAUAGGCCAUAAAACUGCAACAUACAAACACAUGUAAUAAAGACUGUUGAUCAGAGACUCUUGGGGUCUCUUCCCCCCCUGCUGCCUGAGAUGUUCACCAGGAUUCUUCACUACUUCCUGGGCUGAUUGUUUUCCCCACAGUGGUAAUGAGCUGGGAACUUACUAGGAGAUACACUAGAGUACAAACUAUAGCCUGGAAGUUUUACAAGUGUGAACUUAGCAGGUGUGAAGUCUUUCUUCCCAAGAAUAUCUUCAAGAGGGGCAGACUAAGAGCGGCAAACAAAGCGGCAACAGGAUUAAUAGGAAAGGGUAACUGAAGGACAGGACCUAGAGCCAGUGUGCUGGUUGAUGCAGAAUGACCAGGUUCGCUGCAGCCGUCACUCAACUAAACCUACAUGCAAACAAAAGCUGGAGGACUGUUCCUGGAAGAAACGUGAAUGAGCUGCUUGAGGAGGGCCCCAGCUUGCAGCGAAGGAAAGCCCUUCUCACUUGGGCAUUUGGAAGGCUCCUCCUUCCUGCUCUCUGCCCGUGUACCCGUAAGUGAAGUCUCCCAUGUGAUAGUCCUGUAUGAGUGCGUACCUCACGUUGUCCUUCCCAUUCCUCGAGGAGGCCCGCUGGAGAAUUCUGGAGAAUUUGAACUCCCAGUGGCAGAAGAGACUCAGCCAGCCACCCAGAAGCCGGGUCCUUUGUUUUUAUGUAAUUUCUUUUAAAUGUUCAACUGAGAUUUACUACACCUGAAGAAAACCAAUGGCAGGUAAGAAAAAGACCUUAUUGAGCAAAGAGCUGGCCCAAGAGAGUAAGUGAAAAACUUUAGUAUCUACAGAAAGAUUUGAAGAUACUGCACCAUAAAUCAAGAAUAGGUUACCAUGGAAAAGGAAUAAUGAAAAAGAGUGGUUAGAAAUUUAAGAUGAUUGUCAAAAUAAACAUUUUCUAGUACUGGAAUAAAAAAUACAGUUUUCCCAAAAAGAUAAUUAGAAAAAAGAUAAGACGUCAGUCUAUAAAUCUACCAAAUAACUGAAAGAAUUUAAGAAGGAAAAAAUCGGGAAAAAAUGGAGGAAAAGAAAUCAUAGAAGGAUGAUAGUUUGGAUAAUUAGAGAUACACAUCUUUUUUACUGAAAAGUUGCUAAGCAUAGUGAAUUUAAGCAUUGUCUGUCUGUCUCACACACACUGCAAAUCCUUGCAAGAUUUUGGAAUACUAAAGAUAAUAGCCUGAAAGCAUCCAGAGAAGGAAAACAGAAGUUACCUAAGAAGGAGUGAGAAUCAGACUGGCCUCUGUUUUCUGGUCAGCAGAAAUGUGUGCUAGAAGAUACUGCAGCAGACGUUCAAAGUCCAGACAGAAAGGGUUUUUGAUACAGAAUUCGACACCCAAACAAUUAAGUAGAAAAUUGAAAAAGAUAUCUCAGAUAUGCAAAAAUUCACAUUUACUUCACAUCUACAUCUUUGUGCAAUUACUUAGUAUACUUUGGAGAGAAUAAGACAUCUAGUAAAAAGGACUCCACCCUAGGAAUGCGGUGGAAAAAAAUCCUAGGAUACCAGCUAUGUAGCAAGCCUGAAAAAUAAUGGGUUCACAUUAGAACAGGAUCCCAAAGGAUCAGAAUUCCUUGAAAGAAAAAGCGGAUUCCUGUUAAACAGUAAAAGUAAGAGGCUGGAUGAUCAUCACCAAAAGAGGAAAUAGCAUAUACUUCGUUUUGUCAAAUAAAAGGUUAUUAGAAACUCCAGGGAAAGCAAAGUUUUAUAAGGACAUGUUAGUCCGAGUACAAAAACUAAAGUGUAGCAUGAUUAUCAGCAACUGCUAGAGUGUAAAAAGAUUCGAUUUGACCUUGAUCCUUGAAGUGGUCAUUUUUGUGCGUGUGGCACAAGUUUAGUGACAGAGGAUUACAUUUCUUUCUCUAUGGAUCUAAUCUUAUUCCUUGGUUCUGCAGUGAAUCAUACAGAAGUACAAUCUCAAAUGCUAUAUACUCAAUUUGAAAUUUCAGAAUCUAUAUAUAAAAUACAGGAAACAAAAUGACUCCACUGUGUAAAGAUCAAAGUAAUAUAACCAAUAAGGAUAAAAGAGGUGCACAAAAGUUGGAAGAUGAUUUCCUCAUAUAGAAGUCAACAGAUCCAGGGCACCUGGGUGGCUCAUUAGGUUAAGCGUCAGGCUCUUGAUUUUGCCACAGGUCAUGAUCUCAUGGUUCAUGAGAUCAAGCCCCACAACAGGUUCUGCACUGACAGCAUGGAGCCUGCUUGGGAUUCUCUCUCUCCCUUUCUCUUUUCUCUCCCCCUCUCUCUACCCCUUCCCCCUGCCCCGUCUCUCUAAAUAAAUAAAUAUUUUAAAAAGUCAAGAGGUCCAUCUACUGUCAUAUCAAACUAAAGUAUUGAAAUGAGAAAAGCAGUGUAAAAUAGUUUGGGGCGGGGGGGGGGGGAGCCUCAGUGGACUCACUGAGUUGAAGACACGGUGCUCAGAGUCUCAGGAGACCAAGGCAGCCAGAGUUUAUGGGACAGCGAGCCGUGGAGGAGAGGACUGGGUAGGUAAAUGUAGAGAUCGGCAGACGGUUCAUACUGAGUGUUCACAGAGUACUGAUCAGCUCGUGUGUGAGGAAACCUGAUGUCAGAAAAAGAACAACUUGAGAGGGUUUGACAUCAGUGCUACAGGGCCCAAAAUAGCACCUGUUCCCACCACCAAGACUGGAAAAACCCAUUAGGCAUUGGGGAGAGUACUGAAAGAGUACUGAAAGUCUUGCUUUGGGGCACCUGGGUGGCUCGGUCGGUUAAGCAUUCAACCCUUGAUUUUGGCUCAGGUCAUGAUCUCACAGUUCAUGAGAUCAAGCCCUGUGUCAGGCUCUGUGCUGACAGCAUGGAGCCUGCUUGGGAUUCUUUGUCUCUCUCUCUCUCUCUCUCUCUCUCUCUCUCAUCUUCUCUGUAUCGUUCCAAUUUUAGUAUAUGUGCUGCCGAAGCUAGCACUGCUUCUCUCUCUCUAAAUAAAUAAGCAUUUUUUUUAAAGGUCCUGCUUCAUUAGUGGGGAAUAAUUAUCCUUAGGCUAAAUACAGUUCUAGUCCCACCCAACAAAUCUUAAAAAUAAGAUCAGAAAAGGAUCAGUUUCCAAAUAACUACAUCUUAAAACUGUUUCAAAGCUCUAAAAAUUUUGUAGGAACAUAAAAAUAUCCAGCAGUUAAUGUAAAAUUCACAAUGUCUGGCCCGGCUGGCUCGGUCAGAAGAGCACGUGACUCUUGAUCUCAGGGUUGUGAGUUCAAGGCCCACAUUGGGUGUAGAGUCAUUUGGGUGAUUCAGUCUGUUGAGCAUCCAGCUCUUGCUUUUGCCUCAGGUCGUCAUCCAAGGGUCAUGGGAUCAAGCCCCCAUUGAGCUCCACGCUGAGUGUGGAGCCUGCUUAAGAUUCUAACUCUGCCCCUCCCCCACUUGCACAUGCUCUCUCUCUAAAAUGAAAAUAAAAUUCACAAUGUCUAGCAUCUUAUCAAUGAUUAACAGGCUGAACAGUAUCAGCUAUCGGAUAACUUCGAAUGGCCUAAUAUACUUGUAAUUUGAAUUCCUAAAAGAGAUAAGAAAGAGGGGAGGAUAUAUUUGAGGAAAUAACGACCACAGUUUUCCCAAAUGGAUGAAUAUUAUAAACCUAUAGAUUGAAGCUCAGUGAGCACCCAAGAACAAGAAAUACACAAAAAUAUAUACCAACCACAUCAUAAUCAAAAUUUUUAAAACCAGUGAAAAAAAUCUGAAAGCUGUCGGGGUCAAGGGGUGUGUGGAUAGGGGCAGAUCCUACAUAUAGAAGAACAAAAGAAAACAGCCAAGUUAGACUUCUAUACCAAUUCUAUACCUUAUUUCAAAAACAGGUGAAAUGAAGACUUUAAAUUUUUUUUUUUUUUUUUUUAGAGGGCACAUGUGAGCAGAAGAGAGGGACAGAGAGAGUCUUAAGCAGGCUCCAUGCUGCCGGUGCACAGCCAGACACGAGGCUCGAUCUCACAAUCCUGGGAUUAUGACCUGAACUGAAAUCAAGAGUCAGACACUUAACCAACUGAGCCACCCAGGUGCCCCAAGACUUACUCAGACAUACUAAAGACAUAGCAGCAUACCCUCCCUACGACAGACAUCGAAGUCAUUCAGGCACAAGGAAAAUAGCACCAAAUGGGAACCUAGAUCUCCUUGAAGAAAUGGAAAAGCAUGGCAGCUACGUGUGUAUUUUUUUCUGAAACAAAACCUGACAUUUUUUUAGAAAGAGCCAAGCUGUUCAUAUGUCACUACAAAACUGAAACAGAGUUCUUCUUGAUUUCUGUUUGGAAUAAGGUAUGGAUCAUUGUAUCCUGUGGUGUCACCUCCUUAACUGAGCAGAAACAUCUAGAAAGUCAUAUCUGUGACUUCAGCUACCAGUUAGUGAUACCCACCCCUUCAUGAACCUGGAGUAUAAACAGUGGUGGGAGGCAAAUGUUUUCUCUUAAUAUUUUUUCAUUGUUUUAUUUAACUUGUUUCUGUGAUAAUGAAAUGGACAAAUUAUCUCCUCUUUGCUCCAAGUGAUAAUUUUUUUAAUGUGUAUUUGCUUUUGAGAGAGAGCAGGGGAGGGACAGGAAGAAGGGGGCACAGAGGAUCUGAAGCGGGCUCUGCGCAGUCAGCAGAGAGCCCCACAGGGUCUCAAACUCACAAACCGCAAAUCAUGUCCUGAGCUAAAGUCAGAUGCUUAACUGACUGAGCCACCCCAGCUCAGAUAAAAUUUUAAAAUAAUCGGUUCUCCAAUGUUUCUGGGACCCCCAAUCUGUUCUGUUAGUCAUUUUGUUUAAUCUUGCACCAGUACCAUACUGUCUUCAUUACUAUAGCUUUGGACUUGGUAUCCAGUGGGAUAAGUCGUCCAACCUUAUUCUCAAGAGUCCCUUAGUCGCUCUUGGCCCUUUGCUCCUCUGUACAUGUUUUGUUGGAGUCUGACAGUUUUCACAAAACAGAGGUGGAGUUGUGAGUUGUGUGUCAAAUAGGAUUAGAGGGAAAAUUUCUGCUUAAACUAUUUUUUUAAUGUUUAUUUUCAAGAGAGAGAGGGAGAGAGAGCGUGAGCAGGGGAGAGGCAGAGAGAGAGGGAGACACAGAAUCCGAAGCAAGCUCCAGGCCCUGAGCCGUCAGCACAGAGCCCGACGCGGGGCUCAAACUCACGAGCCAUGAGAUCGUGACCUGAGCUGAAGUCGGACACUCAACCCACUGAGCCACCCAGGCACCCCUUAAACUAUUUCUUAGGUGCAAAUAAAUAGUGUAUGUGUACUAUAAGCUUUAUUUAUUCUAGGUUUGUCUUUUUUUUUUUUAAUUUUUUUUUUCAACGUUUUUAUUUAUUUUUGGGACAGAGAGAGACAGAGCAUGAACGGGGGAGGGGCAGAGACAGAGGGAGACACAGAAUCGGAAACAGGCUCCAGGCUCCGAGCCAUCAGCCCAGAGCCUGACGCGGGGCUCGAACUCACGGACCGCGAGAUUGUGACCUGGCUGAAGUCGGACGCUUAACCGACUGCGCCACCCAGGCGCCCCAUUUAUUUUUUUUUUUAAUUUUUUUUUUUUUAGGUUUGUCUUUUUUAAGAUUUUCACAGGGUACUCCAUUUCGGGUUCACAUACGGUUUUUCUGAUUACUUUCAAGACUUUAGUUUGGGUCAUUGCUUACCUGUGUGUCUUCACUGAAUGUUUGAGGGACGUUUUGCACUUCUGAUUGUGACAAGUUUGCCUCUGUUCUUAACCACAAACAAAAAUCUCACAAAUACAAAGGUGGCCCAGAGUACCUUGGAGCCUGAAAGGGUGGCACAUUUGUGUAAGGCUUUGAAUCGCCCAGAGUGUAACCUGUGCAUACUCAGGUAAGUCCCAGCUGUUGCGCUGGAGAAUGUCUCCAGUGAAAAGGUGGUCAGUCUUACAGCGGCCCGUCAUGCUGACGGUGUCCUCUGGGGGUUGCAGUGGACAAUCCCCUCCCUUUGUUCCUCCCUCCGGUAGACUGGCCAGUAAAGCCAGGUCGAUAACAAAUAGUUAAUGGGCUUUAAGAAGAAGAGAUAAACUUACUAAACAAAUGUAAAACCUACCUCUCAGACUCCAGGAUCCCUCAUUUCACUCAAAACCCAAACAUUCAGAAUUUUAGCAUUCAGAUGUUCUCAUAUGUGUGCAGAGAAGAUCCAGGAUGGUAAGGAGUUCUCUGUCCUCCUGAGACCUCAGAGCCACAAAAGCAAAUGCAGGAAUUCCACAGAAGCACCCUGAAGGUUUCCCCAAGUUCAACACAGAUGAAUCAGUCUAUUCAGAUACACAUACAUUCACGGUUAGUUACAUACAGAUAAAAGCUCAUUCUCUUUUGAAAGGACCAAGUGACGGCAGUUGUUUGUGAUAUAACACUGUUGUAGAGGAAAGGUGGUUCUUACUUGCUUUAGCUUGUUCCUUGGCUGGGCAGUGGGGGGUUCUUGGCAUUCCACUGGAGGCAGGAACCAACGGUGGGGUGAGGAGAGUAACUCAGUCAAGAUAAGGGGAUGGACAAAUCCUCUGUGCUUGAGAGGCUAUGAGAAGGGUCACUUGGUGAGAACAAACUCCGCAGGUUUGUUUGGAUGCUGUGAAGUCCCACCAGGGUGCCUGGUGAGUCAGUUGAGCGUCCGCUCUUGAUUUCAACUCAGCUCAUGGUCCCAGGGUUGUGGAAUUGAGCCCCGAGUCGAACUCCACACUGGGCAUGGAGCCUCCUUAGAAUUCUCUGUCUCUCCCUCUGUGCCUCUCCCCUGUUCAUCCUCUCUCUCAAAUUAAAAAAAGAAGUCCCACCUGACUGUUGAGGAAGAUACUGGUGAUGAUCUUCCUGAUUUGAAGGCCUCUAAAUGUCUUCUCUUGGAAUGAUUCUGGAUAGAGAUGAAAUGAAAGCUAGAAAUGAAGCUUUAUCUGUAACAAGCCAGGACCGAAACCUCAUGAAGGUGUAUGUUGUGCUCUCUCAACAGCCCGAUCAACCAAAUGGACUGUAGUUGCUCUGCAUUGUUACCCAUGAGGUUCAACCAUCAGAACAUUUGGGGUUUGGUCCUGGCUGUGCACUUCGAACCUUGAAAGAGACCCUUUAAAGUCAUUCUAAAAUGCUUGUCUGUACUUAUUCUUUGAGAGGAUCAAGUAAGUUAAUGUUCUAGCACUUUGAAAGAGUAUGAGGUGGUAUUUACCCUUGGACAUGAAUCAAUAGAGUAGAAGAAACUUUAACCCUUAACCGACUUUGAUUAGGAAGGGAGAUUUGAAAGGAUGUCCGGGCACAACCCAAUUACAAGGAUUCUCAAGUGUCAGUCACCUCAAUCUCUCCUUUAUGUCUCGUUUUAUUGUGCCUGGCACGGCCUUAGUUAACACAUUGAUCUUUUAAUCCAUUUGCCUUCAUCCAGCCAUCCCCAAAAGCCUGCUUUCCCAGUUUCCAUUAUCUUUCACACUGGCCACUAGUAAUUCUCUAGAACUUACUUAAUUACAAAAUUCCUAUUCCAGUAGCUCCUUAGGGGACUACGAGAUAGAUCACAUUCUCUCUGUGGUAUAUAAGGCUUCUUCCCGUCUACCUGUUGGGUACUUACAAACGCUAAGUUAAUAUGUCUGACACCUAGGAUUUAAUAUAUCUAGUAUGAUGAUUUACAUAAGAGUAAUAAUAAUUUGUUAUAAAUGAUUAUAGGCAUAUAGAGAAUAUAUACUUUAAUAUACAAAAAUAUAUAAUAUAUAAAGUAUGUUAAGUAUAAAUAUAUUUUUAAGUUUAUUUAUUUUGAGAGGGAGAGGGAGAGAGAACAGCCAGGGGAGGGGCAGAGGGAGGGAGAGAGAAUCCCAAGUAGGCUCUGUGCUUAAUCCCACGAACUGUGAGAUCAUGACCUGAGCCGAAAUCAAGAGUCAGAUACUUAGCCUGCUGAACCACCCAGGCACCCAUAAAUAUAAAUAUAAAUAUAAAUAUAAAUAUAAAUAUAAAUAUAAAUAUUUUAAAUAAAAAUAAGUUAUAUAUAUAAUUAACUCCAUUUUCAAGCCCUUUCCUCUCUGUAGAGAACGAGAGAUGGGGCUGAAAUGUCCAAGCUUCUAACCAUAGCCUGGUCUUUUGGGGUGACCAGCCCCCCUCCAGAAGGCCACCAAGACUCACCUCAUUAGAACAAAAGACAUUGCUAUCACUUGUGAAGGGAUCCAAGGGAUUUAGGAACUGGAGUCAAAGGCCAAAUAUCAAAACAAAAUGUGGUAAUAGUUCUCUUACCACAUAGGAAUCCACAAAAGGAUUUUAGGAUUGCUGUGUCAGGAAUGAGGGACAGGGACCAAUAUAUGUCCUUUCUGUUAUCUCACAUUUACCGUUUACUAACACUUAGCCCAAAUCCCUUUGUCUUGUCAAUUCGUGACAAAUUUAGUAUUUCUUUGUCUAAAAGACUUAAAGCUUCCCUCCCUGGUCACUUUUUCAGGUCUCCAUUCUUUUGUGAAGGCCCCCUUGUACAUGUAAAAAUGUAAUAACAUUUGUAUGCUUUUCUCCCGCUAAUCUGUUUUAUAUUAGUUUUAAUUUUUUGGUCCAGCCAGUGACCCUAAGGGUAGAAGAGAAUUUUUUCCUCCCUUACACUAACAUCUUCAGUACAGUGUUGACUAGAAGCAGUGAUAGCAGGCAUCCUUGUCUUGUUCUGAUUUUGAAAGGAAGCUAUAUUAAUUCGCUGCUGUAACGAGGUACCACAAAUCGGGUGGCUUAAAUAAUAGGAAUUUAUCAUCUCGCAUUUCUGGAGGCUGGAAGUCCAAGAGCCGGCGGUCAGCAGGACUGGUUCCUUCUGAGACUGCGAGGGGCAAUCUGUUCCAUGCCUCUCCUGUAGCCUCUGGUGGUUUAUUGGCAACCUUUGGUGUUACUAGGCUGUAGACACAUCACCCUGACUUCUGCCUUCAUGUUCAUGUGACGUUCUCACUGUGUGGUUGUCUGCCUCUGUGUCCACAUUUCCUCUUUGUGAGGACACCAGUUCUAUGGGAUUAGGACUCACCCUAAUGGCCUCCUAUUAACUAAUUACAUCUGUAAUGACCCCAUUUCCAAAUAAGGUCACGUUCUGAGAUAUUGGUUUUUGUGGGACACAAUUCAGCCCAUGAGAAGCUCUGACACUUUGCUAUUAAAUGUAUUUGCCACGAUAACCUUUACUAGGUAAGUUCUUUUCCAUUUCCAGCUUGCUUAAAAGCUGUUAUCAUAGAUGUUAACCUUUAGUCAAUGUUUUUAUGUACUUAAUGAGAUUUACUAUAUGGCUUUUCAUAAUCUGCAG
This 21315-nucleotide long non-coding RNA is filed under the name Lynx pardinus (Iberian lynx). Lineage: Eukaryota; Metazoa; Chordata; Mammalia; Carnivora; Felidae. The record is from RNAcentral.